UACAGGGGUCUCAACCGUUGUUCGGAUUCAUUGGGCGUAAAGGGUGCGUAGGCGGUCGUGCAAGUCGGAUGUGAAAUCUCAGGGCUCAACCCUGAAACUGCAUUCGAUACUGCGCGGCUAGAGUGCUGGAGGGGAGACUGGAAUUUACGGUGUAGCAGUGAAAUGCGUAGAUAUCGUAAGGAAGACCAGUGGCGAAGGCGAGUCUCUGGACAGCAACUGACGCUGAGGCACGAAGGCCAGGGGAGCAAACGGG
Molecule: ribosomal RNA, 253 nt
Filed under: uncultured bacterium
Lineage: Bacteria
Description: partial 16S ribosomal RNA
Rfam family: Bacterial small subunit ribosomal RNA
Source: RNAcentral